GGGGUGGACAUCUCCAGAGACCUCACUCACCUGUGAUUUGGGGGAUAAUAGCAUCACUCAUGUGUUCACGUGCCAGGCCUGUCACCCCGGAACAUUAGUCAAAGGGCUGUGUUGACAGUGAUUUCAACUCUUGAAUUAUACGAAGGACCUGGCCGCAAGAAGGCAUUGAGCCCCGAGGAGGACAACAGGCCUCAGACCUCUCCAGAGUCCGAUGUCCUUCUGCACAAGUCCUUGUUGUCCAGUCUGUGGCCCAAACACCCACAGGGCAUGGUGGAGGCCUGAGACAGUGCUGGUUUUGCUGGGGCCAUCAGAAAAGCUUACGAAGCAGGCUCGGCCAUUGGCUGGAAGUCACUAGCCCCUGCUGGGCUCAUGCAAUACUCAUGGAACUGGUGUGGGCUCCUGCGGGUUCCCUAUGAGCAAUGCCUCACCCAUUUAAAGCUCGUCAAAGGACUUGUUCAAUAUCCUGGGUCCCUUUCUGUUCAUUUUUUCUCUCCCCCCGUGCUGUCCUCCUUCAACUUUCCCCGACCACCCCUCCUCUUUUUAAGCUCUUGGCACCAAGUAACUAUGAAGACUCUGAGAACUGGACCAUCCCAAGGCUGUAGCUUUCUUCAAGCCUGGCAGGCUCUGUCGUGGUGAAGAGUCUGAAGGCUUUUUCUUUUCCAGUAACACAGGAGGUGAUUGAAUGGAAGGAGUGGCCAGUCACUCUUUGGCGUCCAGGAUCCAAGAAGAAACAGAUGAGGAGGAAGGAGGAUAAACAACUUCUGGACAAAGCGAGUAAGUGAAGGUUGGGCAAGAACGCACAGCACGCAUGGCCGAGGGUCCUAGAGGAUGCUGCACCUCUGCCUCUUCUCUAGACGGGAUCCCUUUCCCACAGCUAGUGCUGUUGGAGGGCUGGGGAGGGGGCCGUCCAGGCUUCAGGCCUUGCUUUUAGAACUUUCCUUUGAACUGGAAAAACAGGAAAGACCUGGGGAGACUGG
RNAcentral lists this long non-coding RNA (977 nucleotides) under Homo sapiens (human). RNAcentral's name for it is "PREDICTED lncRNA (TCONS_00079662)". Lineage: Eukaryota; Metazoa; Chordata; Mammalia; Primates; Hominidae. The record is from RNAcentral.